This is a long non-coding RNA of Neopsephotus bourkii (Bourke's parrot), 1260 nucleotides long. RefSeq lists it as uncharacterized. The record is from RefSeq and is a predicted model, not a curated record. The transcript has 2 exons. Lineage: Eukaryota; Metazoa; Chordata; Aves; Psittaciformes; Psittacidae.
AAGUUGGGGCUGUUCAGCCUGGAGAAGAGAAGGCUGCGUGGAGACCACAUAGCAGCCUUCCAGUAUCUGAAGGGGUCCUAUAGGGAUGCUGGGGAGGGACUCUUCAUUAGGGACUGUAGUGACAGGACAAGGGGUAAUGGGUUAAAACUGAAACAGGGGAAGUUUAGAUUGGAUAUAAGGAGGAAAUUCUUUCCUGUGAGGGUGGUGAGGCACUGGAAUGGGUUGCCCAGGGAGGUUGUGAAUGCUCCAUCCUCGGCAGUGUUCAAGGCCAGGUUGGACAGAGCCUUGGGUGAUAUGGUUUAGUGUGAGGUGUCCCUGCCUAUGGCAGGGGGGUUCGAACUGGAUGAUCUUAAGGUCCUUUCCAACCCGAACUAUUCUGUGAGUCUAUGAUUGUCACUGAAUCAGUAGCUUUUCCCCAUAAGCCUGUUCUGAAUGUUCUGGUGUGACACAAAACUGAACUGGUUUUAUGUUACUGACUCACACAGAGACCAGUGUUCUGCAACCCCUUCAAAGGACAGUGGAGAAGUCACUGGUGAAGCGUCUCAAGAGCUCAAAGUGGAAGUUCUUACAGCGUGUUCUCUGCAUGGGCAGGUUAUUUUCUUACCAAGUUGCAGAUUUUUAGUUUUAUACAUGUUUUUAAGACUGGGAAAGCCAACAUCCAUCUAGAGCCUUGCUUUUCACAGUGGCAUCUCGGGUCCGGUCCUACCAUCCCACGGGAUUUGUAAUAAAACCUUUUUGCAAGUGUGGAAACCGCAUCAUCUUGUAUUACCUUUAGAAUCACUCCGGCUCAGGUUAGACAGACACUGAAAGAAAACCCCUCAUUCUUUAGAGCUUUUAGUUCCAUGUGACUGACAAAGCUAUUCUCACCCUAACGUAGGAGACCUUACAAAGUGCAGGUAGGAGGUUACAGCGAAGAAAAUGCACCUUUACCUUCCACGUGGCACAUAACGUCGCUUUGCCGAGUUCACUGACGACGCCAUGCACUCCAUACACUGAUUUGCUAUAUGCACCUCUCCCAUCUCAUGCUUAAUGAUGAUUUCUAGUCAAUAAAUACUGCAGUGAUUUUCUAUUACUUGCUAUUUCCUGAGUCCGUAUGAUUUCCAUUAAGCGGCAGUUACGUUCUUGGGUUUAGAGCUAUUAGGAAACACUAUUCCUGUGGGGUAGCACUUGUUUUCUUCAAGACAGAAAAAGUCACUGUAAAAAUAGUUUAAAAAUCAGGAUAAACUGAAACAAAAUCAUGAUUAAAACUGGAAAACCCUA